CGGCGCCGUGGGACAGGCCGUUGCUCCCGUGACCGUUGGAGCCGUUCGUCCCGUGGCCGUUGGUGCCGUGGCCGUUGGUGCCGUGCCCGUUGCUGCCGU
RNAcentral lists this transfer RNA (99 nucleotides) under Thiemannella venezuelensis. RNAcentral describes it as "Planomonospora venezuelensis tRNA-Ser". Lineage: Bacteria; Bacillati; Actinomycetota; Actinomycetes; Streptosporangiales; Streptosporangiaceae. The record is from RNAcentral.